GUGUCAGCCGCCGCGGUAAUACGGAGGGUGCGAGCGUUAUCCGGAAUCACUGGGUUUAAAGGGUGCGUAGGCGGCCUGGUAAGUCAGGGGUGAAAGUCUGCCGCUUAACGGUAGAAUUGCCUUUGAUACUGUCAGGCUUGAAUGGGCGCGAGGCAGGCGGAAUGUGACAUGUAGCGGUGAAAUGCAUAGAUAUGUCAUAGAACACCAAUUGCGAAGGCAGCUUGCCAUAGCCUUAUUGACGCUGAGGCACGAAAGCGUGGGGAGCGAACAGGAUUAGAUACCCUGGUAGUCCACGCCCUAAACGAUGCUUACUCGACGGGCGGUUUUCGGAUUGUGCGUCCAAGCGAAAGCGCUAAGUAAGCCACCUGGGGAGUACGCCGGCAACGGUGAAACUUAAAGGAAUUGGCGGGG
This 411-nucleotide ribosomal RNA is filed under the name uncultured prokaryote. RNAcentral describes it as "bacterial SSU rRNA". It matches the Rfam family "Bacterial small subunit ribosomal RNA", at positions 505 to 918 of the family's 1533-position model. The record is from RNAcentral.